This 99-nucleotide microRNA precursor is filed under the name Rhinopithecus bieti (black snub-nosed monkey). RNAcentral describes it as "miRNA (ENSRBIG00000017593.1)". Lineage: Eukaryota; Metazoa; Chordata; Mammalia; Primates; Cercopithecidae. The record is from RNAcentral.
UGAGGCAGGAGAAUUGCUUGAACCCAGGAAGUGGAGGUUGCAGUCAGCCGAGAUCGUGCCACUGCACUCCAGCAUGGGUGACAGAGCGAGACUCCAUCU